CCUGCUCUCAGACUGCUUCCAGCUACUGCUGCCGUCUGGGGAGGCCACGUUUCGUAUCUCACCGUGGUCAACGCAAUCCUCUAGGUAAUACCUUUCCCUUCCUCUCUCCCCUCCUUUCCCAGGAGCUGGAACGAAAUGUAUUUCAUGUGACUAUGUCCCGGCCCCUCUAUGCUCCAUUUACUUUAGCACAAACAUACUGUACUGGCCGAAAAUAUUUUGCAAAUACGGCCAGCAGCAUCGCCGGGAAGCGUUCGAAUUUUUAUAUGUUGGUGUUGCUUUUUAAUUGCCUUCGUUUAACUGGGCACAAGAUUUCGCUAUCUAAUGUCUCAGGAACACAAUGAUCCUCCCAGGGGAGAAGGGGGGAGAGGGAGGAAGAACUGCAAAAUAUAAAUGAAGGUUACAUGGCGUGGAGAAAUGGAACGCGGUAUUUCACUUUGUGUUAAGCACCACUCCAGCACCUGUAAUUAACUGCAAAUCACUAGGUGGAAGUCAAUCCUCCUACUUUAUUAAACUGGGCAUGUUUUACCUCAAUAGCAGAGAGUGUGUUCAUAGCCCUAGCAGGAACUAGCUAAAUCUGUGAGAUUCUCCCCGCAAGCGCCUGUGAUCCAUAGCCUCCAGCACGUCAAAACGACUAAUGCCCCUUCUGUUUAUCACGAAACCUCACAGUACUGUUCCAAUAUUAAUGCAAAAUUCAGAUGUUUUUGGCAAUAUCUCUGGACACACUAUAAACUGGUCCAAAUCGGAGUUGGUGUUAAUAGGAAAUAACUUUUUGGUUCAACAGUUUAAACAAUGCCAAUUUCAUAUUUCCAAGAACAACGUUAAAUAUCUAGACAUACUGUUUGCCAUGGACAAAUUCAAUGAUAUUUGGAAUCCAUUCUUACAAAUACAAAUGUAAUAGGUUAAGAUCUGGUGAACUACAAUAAAUACCUUGUAAAGUACACAGUUUUGGGGUUUUUCCCCCUCCCCACUUUAAUUUCCCUCCUACAGUUGUACCUCUGGUUAUGAACUUAAUUCCUUCCGGAGGUCCGUUGUUAACCUGAAACCGUUCUUAAGCUGAGAUACCACUUUAGCUAAUGGGGCCUCCCACUGGCGCCACACCACCGCCACAUGAUUUCUGUUCUCAUCCUGAGGUAAAGUUCUUAACCCGAGGUACUACUUCUGGGUUAGCGGAGUCUAUAACCCGAAGCGUUUGUAACCCGAGGUGUUCGUAACCCGAGGUACCACUGUACACGGAUUCUGUUUCUUUUUUUUCUUUCUGUCUUUUAUUUACGUCUCACAAUGUUUCGUGCACAUAUAAUUAUGUACUUUCUGAACUUUCGAUAAAGAUGUUUAAAAACUAAACAAAAAUAUUUUUAAGACUAAUGCUUCUCAAGUUCUAGUCAUUAUUUUUUUAAAAAAAGAGAUAGCUGCUGAAAUAUGCUAACAAAUGUCACUGCACACCAAAUGUCAUAUGUAAUAAUGUGCUCUUUCUCUCCAAUUGGCGAGAAGCUGACAGUGGCAUCUGGGAGCUGGAUUUCCUAGAAAGUGUCAUAAAGCAUGGUUGCUUCCACACAUCUCCAUGAGGCUGAGGUAUCUUCUUCACAAACUCUGUUGGGAUGAGGCCGAGCCUCCACAAUUGUGUGCAGCACUUCACAGCGGUGGCGGCAAGCCUCGUCAGACCUUGCAGCGGUGGUGGCAAGCUUUGCCAGACCUCGUGGCAGCAGCAGCAAGCCUCACUGGUCCUCGCAGAAGUGGCAGCAGUGGGCUUCGAUGGGCCUCGCAGGGGUGGCAGCGGACCUCGAUGGGCCUUGCAGUGGUGGUGGCAAGCCUUGCAGGGCCUCGUGGCAACAGCAGGCCUUGCCGGACUUCCUCCCAGGGGUGGAAGAAGGGGGUGCGGUAGGGGCAGUCCACCCCAGGUGUCACCACAGAGAGGGGUGACAAAAUGCCGGGAGGCAAUCACCACAGGGCCUGCAGUGCGCCCGAGCCACACAUCUCUCCUGGGAGUGACAUGGUGGCUUGGGCGCCCGCAGGCUCCACGCUGCCCCAAAUGGUCCACCUGCCUCCUCCCUCUCAGCUAUAGGGCGGCUGAGUGGGAGGAGGCAGGCAGACUCCUCGGAGGCCCUAGGGAGCGUCCUGCCCCAGUUCGCCCCACCCUGUGGGCAGCUGGCUCUGCCCCUGGGUGCAGGGCACACGCACCGCCCCUGGCGCCCGAUCGGCUUGCUCCGCCACUGGUUCCUCCCACUACUAGUCUCCUCCCAAUGCACAAUGCGCAUGACGUCUCAUGUGCAUGAUGAGCCCCCUCAUUGUUGGAUGCAAGUUGGCACCUCUGCCUCCACGCUAGUGAUGUCACAACUUUUCAUGAUGAACUGAAAGCUGGAUUUUAAUUUCCUGUAACACUUAAUAUACGAUAUUAUCGGGCCAAACCAACCUUGAUGGUCGAGAUCUUUCUAUAAUGUGUACUCAAGCAUAUGUCUCAGUCAGCGAAGAUCCUCUUCAACUUGAAUUAGAAGCUUCCUCUUCGUGGCUUCAAACUCUAAUUGUUUAAUCUUCACAAUAUAAGGGCUUAUAUAAGGGAUGCGGGUGGCACUGUGGUCUAAACCACUGAGCCUCUUGGGCUUGCCGAGAAGGUCAGCGGUUCGAAUCCCUGUGAUGGGGUGAGCUCCCAUUGCUCUGUCCCAGCUCCUGCCAACCUAGCAUUUCCAUUGACCGAUUGCCUAAAAAAAAAGCUCAGCAACUGAGUAUUAGUUCUAGAAAUAUGGCAACCCAAAGGAAACAGUGUGUGUUAGAACUUGCCACUGGCUGCAGCUGUUCAGAUGGUUCAGAUCCAUUGUCAUAUGUGUAUAGUGGCACAUUUCCUGAACUUUGAUGACCACCUUGUCUAGGUCUUUGCCUACAACUAAUCCAGAAUGUGGCAGCUGGACUGGUGACCAGGAGUGGCCACCAAGACCACAUAACACUGGUCCUGAAAUACCUACAUUGACUCCCAGUACGUUUCCGGGCACAAUUCAAAGUGUUGGUGCUGACCUUUAAAGCCCUAAAUGGCCUCAGCCCAGUAUACUUGAAGGAGCGUCUCCAGCACAACGUUCUGCCCAGACACUGAGAUCCAGCUCCAAGGUCCUUCUGGCGGUUCCCCCCCAUCAGAAGUGAGGUUACAAGGAACCAGGCAGAGGGCCUUCUUGGUAGUGGCACCCGCCUCGUGGAACUCCCUCCCACCAGAUGUCAAGGAAAUAAACAACAUUCUGACUUUUAGAAGUUGAGGGAAGUUUUUAAUGUUUGAUGUUUUAUCAUGUGUCAGAGCUGGCUCCAGGUCCCAGCUCACAGAGGACCAACGCUAGCCGGCAGUAAUGUACAAAAGUCUUUAUUGAAGUACAGUUUCCAUUUUCAAGCCGCAGCGCCCCAGCUCUACGUCUAGGGGUUAGAUCGGCGAAGCUCCAUCUGAGUCUCCGCCCCUGUACACCAGUUUAAGAUUCUAGCCUUACUCCACCUCUUACGUCUCUCCUUUCUCCUCUGGGUCCUGCUACCCCCCGGGGUCCCUUCCUUCCUGGAUUCUUCUGACGCUGACGUUGAGCCCCCUGACUCCUCCCCCUCUUUGCGGCGGGCUUUGGGACCUGGCUCCCUAUCCGGGCUGCCAACUGCGCCGCCCUCCUGUACAUUUGAACUUGGCGCGCGCGCCCAGCCUUCAACCUUCCUCUCGACCGUUUCCUCGCUCCCCGAUGGAGGCGUGGCCAAUCCUGACUCAUGUCCUCCCACUGGCAGUGCGCCGCCUGAUCCCGAUGCCUGGGACCCCUCCCCCCUACUGCACUCUGGUGUGGACGCUGGUCCUGAUUUCCAACUGCUGCUCUCUGAGUCCCCUCUGGCCCCUUCUUCCUGGGGUGUCCCCUCGGCACCCCCUUGCUCUGACCAAGGGAGCCCCUUUCUGUGAAUCUUCCGAUUCGCUGGAAAGACUCAGAGACCUCGGACCGCUGUCAUCGCUAACAUUUCCUUCGGACUCCUCCCCUCGCUCUCUAUUUCCUCCCUUUCCUGUGCCUCUGCUCCUGAACCCCUGACAUCCAUCCCCCCCUCGAAUCCCCCCCCUACCCCCGCCCCUCCUUCAGGUGUGGGUACUGGGCGCUCCGUCGUUGUGGGGGUGAGUGCCGGAUACAGUUCGUCCCCCCGGGCGUGCAUCCAGCCGGAUAAGUCCGGCUCGUCCUCCGUGCUCUCGCCGACCUCAAUUUCCUCUGCUUCCAUCUCUUUGCCGCCGUGCUCGAACCCAAGGUCCUCCCCAACACGUCCAUGUCCGUCUCUCCCCGGUCUCCUCCGGGGACGUUGCCUGCCAAGGACCCCCCAGCCACUUCCUGCGCCACUGCUCCUCUGGUCGAUUGUCCCACCAAUAGGAACGGUCUGAGGCAGACCCCGAGGGUGAUCCCUCCGGGGAACGUGUUUCUAGUGCCGGUUCCUCGUCCGAGGUGAACCCCUGGAAUGUGCUAGCUGAAAAUGUGGGUGUGAAAAGCCAGUCGUCGAAAUACUCGGCUGGCAUGGGCCUGUGUGGGAAAAGGGCAUGAAACUCGUCCUUGAGAAAAGGUUCGUCCAAGGCAUGGUCUGGCACCCAACUGUUGGCGCUGGCCGGGGUACCUUCUCUGGCGAGAAGAUAUUCUACUCCCUCUUCCCCCCAUCUCGAGUCUAAAAUCUCUGUGACUUCGUUGACGGGUUCCCGCCUUGGCGACCCCCUUGUGGGCGUUUCCCUGAACGGGUCUGGUGCCGUUCCUGGCUCCUGAAAUCUAUGAGGUGCUUUGUAGGGCGUGAGCACUGAUCUAUGGAAAACUGGGUGCAUUCUGGAUCCCUCCGGCAGUGUCAACCGGAAGGCCACUGGAUUGACCUGUGCCUCGACUUGGUAGGGUCCUAGCUGCUUAUGCCCUAGCUUCUUCUUCGCUAACGAUCUGGCCGGCACUGCCUGGGCUGCUAACCAAACCCAGUCUCCCACCUGUAUGUCUUCCCCAACCCUUCUGUGCUUGUCAGCCUGCAGUUUGUAUGCGUGCUUUGCUAGUUCUAACUGCCUCCGAAGCUGUUCGUGAACCUCCUGCAACUCUGAUGCUAAGGCUUCCGCUGCCUGUGGCUCCCCUCCCCCGCUCUCGCUAAUCCCGGGAAGGUUCUGGGAUGCCUCCCGUUGUUGGCGAAGAACGGUGUCACCCCCGUGGACACGUGCUUCGUGUUGUUGUAGGCGAACUCAGCGAGCGGCAGGUAGUCCACCCAUGUUGCCGGCUGCUGAUUUGCGUAGCAUCGCAGGUACUGCUGCAUGAUGGCGUUGACUCGCUCCGCUUGUCCGUUCGUCUGCGGGUGUCUCGCCGACGCUAGGUUGAUCUUGACGUUCAGGAAACCCAUCAGCUUCUGCCAGAAGUUCGAGAUGAACUGUCGCCCCGGUCGGACAGGAUAGACCGUGGCAGACCGUGAACCCUGAACACGUGGUCUAUGAACAGUUUGGCGGUCUGUUCCGCCGUGGCCACCUUCGCGCACGGAAUGAAGUGGGCCAUUUUGGUGAACAUGUCCACCACCACUAGCACUGCCGUCUUGCCCCUCGAGCUGGGUAGAUCCGUGACAAAGUCCAGGGCCACCCUCUCCCACGGUUCGAGCGGUGUCUGCAGCGGUUCGAGCAGUCCCGCCGGCGGUUUGUGCACUGACUUGGCCCUUUGGCAGGUGUCGCACCUCGAGACGUAAUCCGCGACUUCCCCCCCCGCAUCUUGGGCCACCAAAAAUCUCUGGCUACUAAUUCUACCGUCUUCUCUUUGCCAAAGUGCCCGGCGGUGGGUGCGUCGUGCAACUGCUGCAGUACUUUCGCGCGGAGGUCGUCUCCCGGUACGUAGAGGGCCCCUCUGCGGAUGAGCAAUCCGUCGCGUAUCUGGAACUCGUCGUCCUCCGCCGUGCCCCUUUGCACCUCUGCCAUCUUUGCUUGCGCGAAGGGGUCCUCCUGCAGUGCUCGACGUACAGCAUCCAGGUCCACGGUUGCUGAAGCGCACGCCCACGCUUUCGGUGCGAAAAUGUGCUUGGCCGCUGCUGGUGCCGCCUCCUCGAGGUAUUGCGGCUUUCUGGACAGUGCAUCCGCCAUGAUGUUGUUGUCGCCUGGGAUGUACUCUAUCCUGAAGUCGAAAUCCGCAAAGAACUCCGCCCAUCGUAUGUGCCUCUGGUUCAGGAACCUUGCCGUGCGCCAGUACUCCAGGUUUUUAUGGUCCGUGCGGACCUGCACUGUGUGUUUGGCUCCAAUGAGGAAGUGCCGCCACGCCUUGAAUGCUGCAUGAAUGGCCAGCAACUCCCUGUCCCAGAUGGUGUAGUUCUGCUCUGACUUGCUGAGCUUCCUGGAGUAGAAGGCACACGGUCUCCAGUCCCCAUGCGGGUCUUGCUGCAACAGUACUGCUCCCACGGCUCUGUCUGAGGCGUCCGUUUCAACCCUCAUCGGUCUGCUGGGAUUCACAUGCAGUAGCUGCUCUUCGGACGAGAAGAGACGCUUGAGUUUCUGAAAGGACUGCUCCGCUUGCUCCGUCCAGAUGAACUUCUUCUUCUUGGAGCUGAGCGUGUCGGUAAUGGCCGCCGUCUGCAUCGCGAACCCCUUGAUGAACUUGCGGUAAAAGUUGGCGAAACCGACAAACCGCUGGACCUCCUUCCGAUUGCGCGGGCUCUUCCAGUCCAACACUGAGCGAACCUUGGCGCUGUCCAUGGCGAGCCCCUUGUCCGACAACUUGUAGCCCAGGAAAUCUACCUCCUUCAUGUCGAACUGGCACUUCUCCAGCUUGGCGUACAGCCUGUGCUCCUGCAGUCUCUGCAGAACUUCCUUGACGUCUCCCUCGUGGGUCUCCUCUGAUUCUGAAAAUAUCAGGAUGUCGUCCAGGAAGCAGACGCAUUUCUUGUAGAGGAGACCCGCCAAUACGUGAUGCAUGAAGGCUUGAAAACAGUGGGAGCCAUUUUGUAAUCCAAAGGGCAUAACUCUGUAUUCAUAGGUGCCCAGGGGCGUGAACAUGGCAGUCUUCCAUUCGUCGCCCUCCCGUAUGCGAAUCAGGUUGUACGCCCUCGCAGAUCCAACUUUGUGAAAACGCGUCCUUUCCUCACCGUUGCGAGCAGGUCAUCUAUCUUGGGCAUGGGAAAGGCUGUGGGCUUGGUUUUCGAGUUCAAAAUUCUAUAGUCCACCACAAGCCUUUUUGGGGCGUGUCCUUCUUCUUCACAAAGAAUACAGGACUGCCCCCACUGCCUUCGACUCCUGGAUGAAACCGCGCUUCAAGUUGAGGUCUAUGAACUCCCUGAGUUCCUGCAGCUCGUCUUCAGACAUGGAAUACAGUUUCCCGGUUGGCAGCGCGCCCUGGCAGGAGGUCAAUCUUGCAGUCAUAGGACCUGUGGGGAGGUAGCUUGUCCGCUUCCUUCUCGCAGAAAACCUCCAAAAACGCUGCGUACUUGAGUGGCACUGCUUGCAGCGUGCCUAAUUGUAGCUGCGGGUCAUCCUCUUCCCCUUCCGGGCUAGGCAGAAUGCAAUGUUCCGCACAGUAUGAGGAGCCGAAGGUCAGUUGUCGCUGGUACCACGCCAAUGCUGGGCUGUGCCUGUGCAGCCAACUCAUGCCUAAUACUAUAGGCGUGUCCGACAGUUGGGUGACAUUGAAGCUGAUGACUUCUCGGUGAUUCCCAAUUUGCAUCACCAUCGGAGGCGUUUGCUGCACCACCUGCCCCCCCAGCAAUUCCCUGCCAUCCACCGUGACAACUUUCAGAGGCAGCGUGGCUGGCAGGAGUGCUAUGUUGUGCUCUUGAAUGAAAUCCAGUCCUAUGAAGUCUGCGUUACUACCAGAGUCAAUGGUAAUCGGCACUUCCAUAGUGAGUCCAUUGGGUAGUUGGAGCGAUGCUGUGAGCUGCACCACUGGUUUGGGCGGGAGGGGGUCUGUGGGCUGCAAAAUCUCUGGGGACGGCUUCAUUGACUUGUCUGGCUGGGCCCCAGUGCCUCUUCCUCCAACCAGACUCUGUCGUUUCCCUGCUGUGGUUCUCUCUGCUGAGUUGCGUCUGUUACUGUUGCUGAGGCUGCAGUGUGCUUGUGGAGCCUCUGGGGACACUCUUUCGCCAUGUGCUGAGCACUGUCGCAGAUGUAGCACUUCCUGUCCCUCUAGGAGGCUUCGCUUUGACUGCUCCCGGUGUUAGGGCUCUGGUUGCUGACUGAGCCCUGGCGCCUCCAAUCUCCAUCGGUUGCUCCCCCUCCUUGCGGAGGUGGGGAUUGCACACGCGCUGCAUCCUUGGGAAAGAGGGGAGGUGCUCUCACUGGCGUACGUCCCCAACGUCCUUCUUCUCUGUUCCAUGGACGUUCUUCCAGACGCACCCCAAUUUGCAGCGCCCGCCGGACAACCUCCUGAGUGCUCUUUGGUCUCUCCCCUUGCAAUCUCAUCUUUCACAUUUGCAUUCAAGCCUUCCCAAAAAGGUCUCUGGCUGGGGCAGAAUCCUUCUCCCAUCCCAGCGCAUGGACUAAUGCAAAAAGCGGGAAUGGUACUGCCUUACACUGGCUCUGCCUUGUUUGAGCCCAUGUAUGUCUUUUCUGGCGAUAUCAAUGUCUAUAUUUGAUAAAAACACGAAUCCAUCGCUUUAAUGAAUGCAUCCGCAUUUUGGAGCGCCGGAUCCUUAUCUCUCCACAGAUUGCGCAGCCACGCUUUAGCUUCCCCAUGCAAAUGGGACAAGAUAAACCCCACCUUCUCUUGCUCAUCUCUAAAGUCUUUAUCCAGCAGUUCCAGCGCAAACAGCACGUCUGCUCGGAAGUUAGGGUACUGCUGCAAAUUCCCAUCGAAAUGAGAUACCAGGCUGCCUCCUCUUUCCCCAGCCCAAUCCCCUCUGAUUUGGGUCCCGGUUGCCCCUGCUUAGCAAGCACUUCCAACCUGGCUUGGAGAUCCCUGCAGGCGGCAGCCGCUUCCUCUUCCCUUUUCCUGGAUGCGAGUACCUCCGCGUUGAGUUGUGUCACUGCAUUUUGCAGGGCUGCUAGUUGCUGUUCUGUAGUCAUCUUGCCUGACUUUUGUGAGCUCGCGAAGCACCAAUCUUCUCCCUCGCUGCGUCCACUCACGUUACGAGGUUUUUGGUGCAAAACUUUUAGAGAUGGAGCUUACUGUCAGAGCUGGCUCCAGGUCCCAGCUCACAGAGGACCAACGCUAGCCGGCAGUAAUGUACAAAAGUCUUUAUUGAAGUACAGUUUCCAUUUUCAAGCCGCAGCGCCCCAGCUCUACGUCUAGGGGUUAGAUCGGCGAAGCUCCAUCUGAGUCUCCGCCCCUGUACACCAGUUUAAGAUUCUAGCCUUACUCCACCUCUUACGUCUCUCCUUUCUCCUCUGGGUCCUGCUACCCCCCGGGGUCCCUUCCUUCCUGGAUUCUUCUGACGCUGACGUUGACCCCCUGACUCCUCCCCUCUUUUCGGCGGGCUUUGGGACCUGGCUCCCUAUCCGGGCUGCCAACUGCGCCGCCCUCCUGUACAUUUGAACUUGGCGCGCGCGCCCAGCCUUCAACCUUCCUCUCGACCGUUUCCUCGCUCCCCGAUGGAGGCGUGGCCAAUCCUGACUCAGGUCCUCCCCCUGGCAGUGCGCCGCCUGAUCCCGAUGCCUGGGACCCCUCCCCCCUCCGGCACGCUGGUGUGGACGCUGGUCCUGAUUUCCAACUGCUGCUCUCUGAGUCCCCUCUGGCCCCUUCUUCCUGGGGUGUCCCCCUCGGCACCCCCCUUGCUCUGACCAAGGGAGCCCCUUUCUGUGAAUCUUCCGAUUCGCUGGAAAGACUCAGAGACCUCGGACCGCUGUCAUCGCUAACAUUUCCUUCGGACUCCUCCCCCUCGCUCUCUAUUUCCUCCCUUUCCUGUGCCUCUGCUCCUGAACCCCUGACAUCAUGUUUUUAAUAUUCUGCUGGGAGCUGCCCAGAGUGGCUUGGGAAACCCAGCCAGAUGAGUGGGGUAUAAAUAAUAAAUCAUUAUUAUUAUUAUUAUUAUUAUUAUUAUUAUUCCAUCCACUGGCGCAAGCUGACCUGCCUUUUUCUUGUCUGCAGCUCCUGUCAAACUGUAGGAAUUCAAGCCAAAAUAAUCCAGUAACUUCCUCAUAUCCUUAUCUCGGAUUGUAACCGUAUUGGAUUUGGAAAUUGUUUCUAUAUAUGAAAUAUAUAAGGGUCUGGAAACCAAGCCUUACGAGGAGCGUUUGAAGGAGCUGGUCAUGUUUAGCCUGCAAAAGAGGAGACUGAGAGCUGAUACGAUAGCCAUCUUCAAAUACCUGAAGGGCUGUCACAUGGAAGAGAGAACAGGCUUGUUUUCUCCUGCUCUGCAGGGUAGGAUUCGAACCAAUGGCUUCAAGUUCCAAGAAAGGAGAUUCCAACUAAACAUGGUCGGACAAACGCCGGCUCCCUCGUCCUGAAAGCGAGAUGAGCGCCACAACCCCAUAGUCGCCUUUGAUUGGACUCAACUGUCCAGGGGUCCUUUACCUUUACCUUUUCCUCUUUUGCCCAACAUAGAAGCCAACUUCUAGGGGCCAUGGGGGCUUUGACUCCCAUAAGAAAAUAUUUGAGAGGGCCAGGCCCCCACAAAGUUGAUGGGCGUUCCCAUUCAAAUGGUGUGCAUGCACUGCGUCAUGUGAUUGAUUAUGUGGGGCAGGGCUUACUUGGGUCCCCACAAUAUUUUAUUCAAGUUGGCACCGCUGUUGCGGCUCAAACCCACAACCCUCAGAUUAAGAGUCUCGUGCUCUACCACCUGAACUGCUCUUUAUCGCUGCUGCAUUUUGAAUCACUUUGAGAUGUUGCAUAGGAAACAAUCCAUUUGUGGAAUUGAAUAAAAAUAAAUAAAAUAGCAAUUCCCAAUAAGCAAUUCAGACCGGAGCAUGAAGGAAUUCCCAACAGUUUAAAGAGCCAGUUUCUGCGUCAAGUGGAGCCCACCAAAUCAGUUACAGACAUUGCCCUGUAUACCAGCCCAGCCCCGUGCUUUGAGAACAAUGCUUUCCUGAAAACAUUUAUAUAUUUGUUCAUCCAUUCAUUUGAUUUAUUGGACAUGUAAGAAGAGGAGGCUUGCAAAAUUCCGAAAGCCUAAAGCAUGACGGAAAACCAGGGGAGAAAAAAAAAUGCAAAUAAAAGCCAUGCAGUAACCUCUAAAACAAAGCCAGUAAAAUAGUGGAAAACUCCAGCAGCAAAAACGUACCAUCGACAAACAGCAAAAUCAUCAUAAUCCAUCUAACGCCUGGGUGAAGAGAUAAGUCUCCACCUGGUGCCAAAAGGAUGUUAAUGAUGGUGCCAGGAGGACAAAAUUAUUAUAACAAUAUCAGGCUGGUGUACUUUGUUCUAAGCGCAUUGUAAGGAUCUGGGAGUAUUUCGACGGAGCUACACUCCUGAGAAAAAAGCAGGGCAUAUUGUGAGAUUUGGCUAGAUGAAGACAUUAUCUCAUGGGGAGAAAAUGGGUGUUCGGAUUAACCUCUCAUGCGUUCAAAAC
This 11406-nucleotide long non-coding RNA is filed under the name Podarcis lilfordi (Lilford's wall lizard). The record is from RNAcentral. Lineage: Eukaryota; Metazoa; Chordata; Lepidosauria; Squamata; Lacertidae.